AUGAUUGGCCCAGAUGAGAGGCUGGACUUGCCCUUUGUGAUGGAAAUUCUGUUUCACAAGAAUGCCCCUAAGAUGGUGAAGUCAUCCCAGGUGUGGAAAAUCCAGCUGCUCCUUGCUGUUAGGUCUGAGACUCACAUGCCUGGUCUGAAAUCUAUGUGCAGAAGCACUGUCAUCGCCCUGUUUUCUUCCACUCUGGGAAGAACUCUGAGAAAUGGAGUUAAGUCUGUGAGGUAACUCAGCCCUAGUUUUCUUCUAUGGAAGAAAUGUUAAUAUUUUUUCAUUCUAGAAAUGUGUUUUUGAAGUGUGGUUGUCCUGUCUUUCAUAGGAACAUAUUGCAACUAUUAAUGCCCUGCAGUGAACUAGAGAGCCUGCGGAGCACAUAGAAAGGUAUGAGUUGUGGAUGACAGAAACAUCUCUAUGAAAGAAACAAGACCCCUUUUCUGAAGGGGUGAGUAGUAUGAUGUGAAGUCAGACAUUACUAACUCCAGUAAUAAUCCAGUCAGCCAUGAGGUGAGAUGCUGCUAGUAACAUCAGUCUCCUAAGGUACCCAUUCCUCUGUAGUUUAGUAUCAUACUGAUGUUCUACCCUGCAUAGGAAAUUUUUUUGGUAUAUUUUUGCUCUUUCUUUGUUAUUAAUUAAGGUGUUAAUUCAGUAAUACACUGCCAACAAUGCAAAAGCAUUCCGCUGUUUAUGUUUGAUGUUAGACUACUAAGUUGAUGCAACCCGUUAUGAAGUAAUUGCUUGAUUUCAAAUUGUCACCAGGGACCAUCAGACAAAUGACUGAGUGAUAUAUGCAUCUAACUCUUCUAUAUGUUGAGAGGGAAAUAUUAGUUACCUGCCUGCAAGACUUGGGCAGCUCACUGCUCUUGAGUUAACAGUGAGGUUCAGUGGCUGGUAUUCAUAAGAAUGGAAGGCCAGAUCUUGUAUGGAUGUGGGGAGAAUGUAAAGUGCAAUCAUUCUGAGUUUUGACAAGGGUCAUUCGCAGCAGGCGUGGAGAUGCUGGGAUCUUGGGUUAGGCUUUGUGCCACUCCUGCAUGCUGAAAGGCAAUGAGAAGUUCCUGGGUGGAUUCUGUCGUCUUCCAUCAGAAGGGCAAAAUGCCAGUUGUUGUCAUAGACAGGGUUAUUGGAUUACCUCAGGAAAUCACUCCUUGACACAUACAGAAUCCUUAAUUAAUUAUUAUCAUUUCUCAACUUGCCCUUUCUGUCUGGAAUUUAUUAAGGAAGCUCAGAGGUAGUACCUCCUGUAGUAUGGGGAGCUAGGGAGCUACUUUUGUUCCAUCCUUCCACCCUUCCUUUCAUCAAUAUGCACAGCACUUUUCCAACAAGAUAAAGAUGCCCUGAAAAGCUUUCAGCCCAAGUUCAAUGGAGAACAAACAGGAGGGAAUGGAAAUGAGAAGGGGGGUGAAUGACAAGAAGGGAAAAAAUGAAUGAAGGCGAGACCAGCCUGAUUAUUGUGAAAACUAAUGAGAUGACUGGAGGCAGUGAAUUUUCCAGAAUAAAAUGACAAUAUUUAAAGGCA
Molecule: long non-coding RNA, 1519 nt
Filed under: Coturnix japonica (Japanese quail)
Lineage: Eukaryota; Metazoa; Chordata; Aves; Galliformes; Phasianidae
Description: lncRNA (ENSCJPG00005004063.1)
Source: RNAcentral